RNAcentral lists this transfer RNA (73 nucleotides) under Mus musculus (house mouse). It matches the Rfam family "tRNA". Rfam says of the family: Transfer RNA (tRNA) molecules are approximately 80 nucleotides in length. The record is from Rfam by way of RNAcentral. RNAcentral also lists the same sequence under 1 other name. Lineage: Eukaryota; Metazoa; Chordata; Mammalia; Rodentia; Muridae.
GAAGAGGUGGCUCAGUGGUUAAGAGCAAUUUCUGCUCUUUCAGAGGACCUGGGUUCAAUUCCCAGCAACCUUA